This 337-nucleotide unclassified non-coding RNA is filed under the name soil metagenome. Its description in RNAcentral is "partial contains 5.8S ribosomal RNA, internal transcribed spacer 2, and large subunit ribosomal RNA". The stretch from base 1 to 120 matches the Rfam family "5.8S ribosomal RNA", at positions 35 to 154 of the family's 154-position model. The record is from RNAcentral.
GAUGAAGAACGCAGCGAAAUGCGAUAAGUAGUGUGAAUUGCAGAAUUCAGUGAAUCAUCGAAUCUUUGAACGCACAUUGCGCCCCUUGGUAUUCCAUGGGGCAUGCCUGUUCGAGCGUCAUUUGUACCUUCAAGCUCUGCUUGGUGUUGGGUGUUUGUCUCGCCUCUGCGUGUAGACUCGCCUCAAAACAAUUGGCAGCCGGCGUAUUGAUUUCGGAGCGCAGUACAUCUCGCGCUUUGCACUCAUAACGACGACGUCCAAAAGUACAUUUUUACACUCUGGACCUCGGAUCAGGUAGGGAUACCCGCUGAACUUAAGCAUAUCAAUAAGCGGAGGA